GAUGGAUCGGACAUUCCCUUUGAAGAGGAGCUGCGAACAGUGUCAGUUUUGCGUUUAGUGGCGGCAUCUAGACGAAAAGCGAGCCCGCAAACGUCUCUUACACACCAGGAGGCGGAGCGUACAGAACGAGCUGCGAGCCGUACAACUGAGCUGGAACGAUGCCAUGACUAUUUCUCAAGAUAGAAAGGCGUGGAAGGAUCUUGUGGAAGGCCCUAAUGUACCUCCAGGAUGUCCUAGGACUAACAACAACACCAAAAACCUAAACUACCUUAUAUGUGCUAAAAUACCGCAGUCCUGAAGCUCAGCAGAUUAGAUAUUGUUACUUUGGAGAAAAGAUUAUAAAAAAUUCUUAAUUCAAGCCUAAUCGCCACAAAGUCCUAAAUAUUCAGACAAAUAAAAAAUAGUAAAAGUUGAGGUUAUAAGUUGGCAAUUUUUUCGUUAUAAUAUCUUAUUGAGCCGUAGAAAGGCUGCCGCCGUUACUAAGGCCGUUGACCUUUGACAAACCAAAAUUAUCAUAGAAAAGUGUUGUCUAUACAGUAAAAAUAUUGCGCUGUCGCUAGUGUUGCAAAUUAAGUGUAUCAAGUUACCCCAGUUCCCCCAAACAACGGUUCAAAAGGCUACUGAUAACGAUAAUAUUUCAAUGAGUAAGAGGACUCGAUGCAUCAUAAAUACCGCAGACGCGGUUUUAGCAGCCAUUCAUUUUCUUGACAAGAACGUGAGCAGACUUCAGAGUACUAUUCGCAAUGUUCAAACUAACAUUAACGCUGCUGGUGUUGGGCCUGCUCUGCCUGAGCCUCGUCGCCGCUCUACCAUCUUCGUCCAACUACGACCAGCAGCAACCACCAGCCGACUCGUAUUCUAGCACAUCUGACAGCAACAACCGCAAAUGUUUGUUUGGCAUCUUUUGUAAUGACGGAGCUUUAGUUCAAGUGGGUAAUCAUAAUUCAGGAUAGUAAGAGUAUUUCUUCUGUAACAAAAUAUUAAAGCCAUUGUAAACUUUCCUGGAUUUGUUGUAAAUAUUACGCUACAUAAUAAACAUGAUAAAAUCUUA
Cydia pomonella (codling moth) is the source of this 1051-nucleotide long non-coding RNA. RefSeq lists it as uncharacterized. The record is from RefSeq and is a predicted model, not a curated record. The transcript has 2 exons. Lineage: Eukaryota; Metazoa; Arthropoda; Insecta; Lepidoptera; Tortricidae.